This 57-nucleotide transfer RNA is filed under the name Neotoma lepida (desert woodrat). It matches the Rfam family "tRNA", at positions 8 to 63 of the family's 71-position model. From Rfam's summary of the family: Transfer RNA (tRNA) molecules are approximately 80 nucleotides in length. The record is from Rfam by way of RNAcentral. Lineage: Eukaryota; Metazoa; Chordata; Mammalia; Rodentia; Cricetidae.
UAGCUCAGUGGUAGAGCACUUGUCUGGCAAGUAGGAAGUCCUGGGUUCAGUUCCCAG